GGGGAUGUAGCUCAGCUGGGAGAGCAUUACCUUCGCAAGGUAGGGGUCGUGGGUUCGAAUCCCAUCAUCUCCACCA
Molecule: transfer RNA, 76 nt
Filed under: Pseudomonadota bacterium
Lineage: Bacteria; Pseudomonadati; Pseudomonadota
Also listed under: 1 other name
Description: Proteobacteria bacterium (hot springs metagenome) tRNA-Ala
Rfam family: tRNA
About the family: Transfer RNA (tRNA) molecules are approximately 80 nucleotides in length. Their secondary structure includes four short double-helical elements and three loops (D, anti-codon, and T loops).
Source: RNAcentral